CAAGUCGAGCGGCAGCACAAGGGAGUUUACUCCUGAGGUGGCGAGCGGCGGACGGGUGAGUAAUGCCUAGGGAUCUGCCCAGUCGAGGGGGAUAACAGUUGGAAACGACUGCUAAUACCGCAUACGCCCUACGGGGGAAAGAGGGGGACUUUCGGGCCUCUCGCGAUUGGAUGAACCUAGGUGGGAUUAGCUAGUUGGUGAGGUAAUGGCUCACCAAGGCGACGAUCCCUAACUGUUCUGAGAGGAUGAUCAGCCACACUGGGACUGAGACACGGCCCAAACUCCUACGGAAGGCAGCAGUGGGGAAUAUUGCACAAUGGGGGAAACCCUGAUGCAGCCAUGCCGCGUGUGUGAAGAAGGCCUUCGGGUUGUAAAGCACUUUCAGUAAGGAGGAAAGGUUGUAAGUUAAUACCUUGCAACUGUGACGUUACCUACAGAAGAAGGACCGGCUAACUCCGUGCCAGCCGC
Molecule: ribosomal RNA, 468 nt
Filed under: bacterium 2611-S5-05B-3.2.1
Lineage: Bacteria
Description: bacterial SSU rRNA
Rfam family: Bacterial small subunit ribosomal RNA
Source: RNAcentral